Molecule: ribosomal RNA, 490 nt
Filed under: uncultured bacterium
Lineage: Bacteria
Description: partial 16S ribosomal RNA
Rfam family: Bacterial small subunit ribosomal RNA
Source: RNAcentral
AUUGAACGCUGGCGGCAGGCCUAACACAUGCAAGUCGAACGGUAACAGGAAACAGCUUGCUGUUUCGCUGACGAGUGGCGGACGGGUGAGUAAUGUCUGGGAAACUGCCUGAUGGAGGGGGAUAACUACUGGAAACGGUAGCUAAUACCGCAUAACGUCGCAAGACCAAAGAGGGGGACCUUCGGGCCUCUUGCCAUCGGAUGUGCCCAGAUGGGAUUAGCUAGUAGGUGGGGUAACGGAUCACCUAGGCGACGAUCCCUAGCUGGUCUGAGAGGAUGACCAGCCACACUGGAACUGAGACACGGUCCAGACUCCUACGGGAGGCAGCAGUGGGGAAUAUUGCACAAUGGGCGCAAGCCUGAUGCAGCCAUGCCGCGUGUAUGAAGAAGGCCUUCGGGUUGUAAAGUACUUUCAGCGGGGAGGAAGGGAGUAAAGUUAAUACCUUUACUCAUUGACGUUACCCGCAGAAGAAGCACCGGCUAACUCCGUG